This 253-nucleotide ribosomal RNA is filed under the name uncultured bacterium. RNAcentral describes it as "partial 16S ribosomal RNA". It matches the Rfam family "Bacterial small subunit ribosomal RNA", at positions 524 to 776 of the family's 1533-position model. The record is from RNAcentral.
UACGGAGGGUGCGAGCGUUGUUCGGAAUUAUUGGGCGUAAAGCGCGUGCAGGCGGUUUUGUAAGUCUGAUGUGAAAGCCCCGGGCUCAACCCGGGAAGUGCAUUGGAUACUGGCGACCUAGAGUGCGGUAGAGGGGGGUGGAAUUCCGCGUGUAGCAGUGAAAUGCGUAGAGAUGCGGAGGAACACCGAUGGCGAAGGCAGCCCCCUGGGCUAACACUGACGCUCAGGCACGAAAGCGUGGGGAGCAAACAGG